RNAcentral lists this unclassified non-coding RNA (387 nucleotides) under Hevea brasiliensis (rubber tree). Lineage: Eukaryota; Viridiplantae; Streptophyta; Magnoliopsida; Malpighiales; Euphorbiaceae. The record is from RNAcentral.
UCUAGGUAUUCUUUUUUUUUUUUUAAUCUAAUUUCAUCCACACCUAGCAUAAAGGAAAAGGCUUUUUUCUCUCCUAUCACUGAAGCUAUCUCCAAACGAAAAGGGGGAAAAAAGAAGAAAAAACAAAGUAGAAGAAGAGUGGAAGAGAAGAUUGAAAUCUGUUGCUCCCUCCACCCACUUGAGUUUUCUCAAUGAUUUGUCUUUUAAUUUUUGUCCUCCUCUGCUUUUCUAAUUUCUGUCAAGAGGACGAUGAAGGGGUAGGACAUGAAGAAAAGAAGUUUGAUGAAGAAGAAAAUUGAGAUACUUUUGAUGAAGUGCAGUUAUUUUAGAAUAUAGAAUGGUUUUUAAGAGAUUGAUUUCUAUAAUAGUUUAGUUUUAUUUUAUUUG